Molecule: ribosomal RNA, 532 nt
Filed under: Cirroctopus hochbergi
Lineage: Eukaryota; Metazoa; Mollusca; Cephalopoda; Octopoda; Opisthoteuthidae
Description: partial 16S ribosomal RNA
Rfam family: Bacterial large subunit ribosomal RNA
Source: RNAcentral
GUCUCUUUGAAAAAAAAAAUAUAGAGAGUCGGACCUGCUCAGUGAUAUAUAAAUAAAUAGAAAUAUAUUAAAUAGCUGCAGUAUAAUAACUGUACUAAGGUAGCAUAAUAAUUUGCCUUAUAAAUUGAGGCUAGAAUGAAUGGUUURCCGAAAGUUGAUCUGUCUCUUAUUAAUUUUUUAGAAAUUAAUUUUUAUAGUGAGAAGCUUAAAUUAUUUAGAGGGACAGAGAAGCCCUAUUGAGCUUUAUACUUUUAAUAUAAAAAAAAAUUAAUUUUAUUAAAAAAAUGAUUUUGAUUGGGGUGAUCAAGGAAUAAAAUGAAAUUAUAAAAAUAACUUCCUUAUACAAAAUAUCAUUGAUAAAUUAAUUAACCAAAUUAUUGCUAACAAGAAUAAGUUACCAUAGGGAUAACAGGGGUAAUUUUUUUAGAGAGUUCUUAUUAAUAAAAGAGAUUGCGACCUCGAUGUUGGAUUAAAAUAACCUUAAGGUGAAGAGGCUUUAUUAGGUAAAUCUGUUCGAUUUUUAAUAUUUUAC